RNAcentral lists this ribosomal RNA (253 nucleotides) under uncultured bacterium. RNAcentral's name for it is "partial 16S ribosomal RNA". It matches the Rfam family "Bacterial small subunit ribosomal RNA", at positions 524 to 776 of the family's 1533-position model. The record is from RNAcentral.
UACAGAGACUGCAAGCGUUGUUCGGAUUCAUUGGGCGUAAAGGGUGCGUAGGCGGCGCGGUAAGUCGGGUGUGAAAUCUCGGAGCUUAACUCCGAAACUGCAUUCGAUACUGCCGUGCUUGAGGACUGGAGAGGAGACUGGAAUUUACGGUGUAGCGGUGAAAUGCGUAGAUAUCGUAAGGAAGACCAGUGGCGAAGGCGGGUCUCUGGACAGUUCCUGACGCUGAGGCACGAAGGCCAGGGGAGCAAACGGG